RNAcentral lists this ribosomal RNA (253 nucleotides) under uncultured bacterium. Its description in RNAcentral is "partial 16S ribosomal RNA". It matches the Rfam family "Bacterial small subunit ribosomal RNA", at positions 524 to 776 of the family's 1533-position model. The record is from RNAcentral.
UCCGGAGGGUGCAAUCGUUGUUCGGAAUUACUGGGCGUAAAGGGCGCGUAGGCGGUGUAGUAAGUCAGAUGUGAAAGCCCUGGGCUCAACCCAGGAAGUGCAUUUGAAACUGCUACACUUGAGUAUGGGAGAGGAGAGUGGAAUUCCCAGUGUAGAGGUGAAAUUCGUAGAUAUUGGGAGGAACACCCGUGGCGAAGGCGACUCUCUGGACCAAUACUGACGCUGAGGCGCGAAAGCGUGGGGAGCAAACAGG